GCAGCCGCGGUAAUUCCAGCUCCAAUAGCGUAUAUUAAAGUUGUUGCAGUUAAAAAGCUCGUAGUUGAAUUUCGGGGCCAGUUGGUUGGUCGUGCCUAUGGUAUGUACUGGCCUACUGGUUCCUCCUUCUUGAAGAACCGUAAUGUCAUUAAUUUGGUGUUGCGGGGAAACAGGACUGUUACUUUGAAAAAAUUAGAGUGCUUAAAGCAGGCUAACGCCUGAAUACAUUAGCAUGGAAUAAUGAAAUAGGACGUUUGAUCUUAUUUUGUUGGUUUCUAGGAUUGACGUAAUGAUUAAUAGGGAUAGUUGGG
This 311-nucleotide ribosomal RNA is filed under the name uncultured Glomus. Its description in RNAcentral is "SSU rRNA". It matches the Rfam family "Eukaryotic small subunit ribosomal RNA", at positions 570 to 886 of the family's 1831-position model. The record is from RNAcentral. Lineage: Eukaryota; Fungi; Glomeromycota; Glomeromycetes; Glomerales; Glomeraceae.